Molecule: long non-coding RNA, 116 nt
Organism: Poecilia latipinna (sailfin molly)
Lineage: Eukaryota; Metazoa; Chordata; Actinopteri; Cyprinodontiformes; Poeciliidae
Exons: 3
Source: RefSeq, a predicted model, not a curated record
CAGAGUAUAGUAGAGACUAUAUGAAGGAAAUACACCUCCUAUAGGCAGUGGGGCCAUUUUUGCAAUAGUUUGCUCCAUAGUUGGAAUUUUUAUAAACAUCUGUCUAAAGAGAAGAU